This 281-nucleotide RNase P RNA is filed under the name Nitrosopumilales archaeon CG_4_9_14_0_2_um_filter_34_16. RNAcentral's name for it is "RNase P RNA component". It matches the Rfam family "Archaeal RNase P". From Rfam's summary of the family: Ribonuclease P (RNase P) is a ubiquitous endoribonuclease, found in archaea, bacteria and eukarya as well as chloroplasts and mitochondria. The record is from RNAcentral. Lineage: Archaea; Thermoproteati; Nitrososphaerota; Nitrososphaeria; Nitrosopumilales.
GUGAGCUGGAGCACGAUACACUGCUACGGCAGAGGAAACUCCUCCCUCCAUACAGGAAAUGUGAUCUGGAGAUAGAUAAUCAGAGAUGAUUGGCAACGGAGCAGAAAAGAAAUCCAAUAUGGCGUACUGUGAUGGUGAAAACCUGAGAUUUCCAUAAAAGGAAUGAAAAAGACGACCCACAUGGAGCAAAGCCAAACAGAACUAAAGGAUCCUGUACUAAGUUCAGGUAGGCUGCAAAGCGAAAUAUCGUGAAAACAGAAGGAGGGUUACUCCCAGCACAC